UAAUUUACUUUGGUCGCUACUUUAUUAAUUUACUUUGAUGCAGACGAUCGUUUAAUCUACUCAUACAAUGAAUCUCCAAUACAAGCGCUUACUAACACGGCGUUCCAUCUUGGUGUUGUAAAUUCUUUCUACAAAUCUUGGGGUAUCAGGAUUAAUGCAGCCAAAUCUGAAGCCAUCUACCUGAGAAAUGCUUCUGGUAAAUGUGCCAGAUUUGUGGUUCCAGAGAGCAAACUUUUGUAGCUCUCUCUUGACGGUAUGGAUAUACCAUUUAAGGACACCAUUAAGUACCUUGAACAGCAAAUAUCUUCCACAGGCGACAAAAAUUAUUCUUUAUAAAGUGGCUAUCAGGCCGACACUCAUACAUGCAUUCCCCAUCUGGUUCUCUAUCUCUCCAGCGGUGGCCAGGCAAUUGGAAAUUUUUGAGCGAAGAAUAUUAAGGAAAUGUAUUGGCAGGAAUUUUCAAGGCUAUAAUAAACGAUUUUCUAAUACAUACAUUAAUGGACAAUCUGCUGUGGUACCACUCUGCAAAUACGCCUUACUGCUCCAGAGAAAAUUUGCUGAUAAUUUGGCUCUUCAUGAGAAUACACUGAUGAACGAUAUGUAUGAGUAUGAGAAGGUAAUGGAGUGGUCUGGAUGUACUUACCUGUCUCCAAUAGGUAUUUUGAAUCAAUUAAUUGACAACGACGAUCCCGUUCAGCUUAUACUACCGGAUUUCUACAGGGAAACGCUCCCGGGCUCCCAUAGGGGCUGAAAAGAAAAAAAGGAAACUGAUAUUUUAUUUAUACAUUUAUUUAUUUUAUUAUGAAAUUUGUAUCUUCGAAUACUAAUAAUUGUUCAUAUCAUAUUAUUAUCAUCAACUUUAAAUAUUCCAAUUUAUUAAACUUUUACACUUUGUAAUAUUUACAAUUCGUUAA
Long non-coding RNA from Calliphora vicina (urban bluebottle blowfly), 914 nucleotides. RefSeq lists it as uncharacterized. The record is from RefSeq and is a predicted model, not a curated record. The transcript has 2 exons. Lineage: Eukaryota; Metazoa; Arthropoda; Insecta; Diptera; Calliphoridae.